CUUUUUAACUUCUUGGGUAAGAAUCUUGAUUGGUUCUUCCUCAUACGUCAAGUCUAGUUGAACCUCAAUAGCUUUUGGUGUAAUAACAUGCGACGGAUCCAAUCUAUACCUUUUCAACAUAGAAACAUGAAAAACAUAGUGGAUUAUUGCAAACUUUGGUGGUAAUGCUAACCGAUAAGCUACUGGUACAAGACACUUCAAUAUCUCAUAUGAUCCAAUAAACCUUGGACUUAACUUUCC
Molecule: long non-coding RNA, 240 nt
Filed under: Gossypium barbadense (sea-island cotton)
Lineage: Eukaryota; Viridiplantae; Streptophyta; Magnoliopsida; Malvales; Malvaceae
Description: long non-coding RNA (GBAR_LNC015540)
Source: RNAcentral